Planococcus citri (citrus mealybug) is the source of this 3473-nucleotide long non-coding RNA. RefSeq lists it as uncharacterized. Lineage: Eukaryota; Metazoa; Arthropoda; Insecta; Hemiptera; Pseudococcidae. The record is from RefSeq and is a predicted model, not a curated record. The transcript has 2 exons.
CGAUGAGGAAAGAAGAAAAAAUUAUGCUUUUCCUUUGCUUUGAUUUUGUAAUAUUAUGGAAAAAAUUGAAUAAAAAGGAACUUCCACUUUACAAACAUGACUUUUUUUGAAGGAAUUUUCAAGAAUAUGUAGGUACCUAAUUCGUACGUAUAAAUAGCUACAUGAAGUAUGUACUGUCAAAUAGACAGAAUCCAGGAGGGAAAAUGUUCGAUAAAACCUUCAUCAGUAUACACGAAAUUAAUAUUACCUACCUACCUACUUUAUGCCAAUCGAUAGGAAAUUUUAAUACUUUCAAUUUAUAUCUUCAAACAUUCACCCAAACUCAUAUUUAUUCAAGAAAAAUGAAAAAAAAGAUCUAAUUUUAUUGGUUUACAAUGCGUUUUGAUGAAAAUCCCCCCCCCCCCCAGUAAGAUUACUUUGUGGUGGGAGUAUUUUGAUCCUCUACAAGUUCGAUUAUUCAACCUUCCAUUUCAUAUGUCAUAUCAAACAAAACAAGACACCAGCUUAUCACUGAUUGCAAGAGAGUUUCUGCAUUCGCUUUUUGCCUAGAUUUAUAGAUUGGAUGCUUUAACUGCUUUAAUGUGCAACAGUUAAUUGCUUGAUGCGUUUAAAUUUUAGGGGAAAAAUAUAAAAAAUAGAUACCUACCUAUCGAUCCAGAUGUUGGGUGGAUCACCCCCCUCUCCCCACAAAAAAGUUGCUGGAUCUUGACCAAAUUCAGCAAAGAAAUUUGAAGUUGAAAGUCGAUCAGAAAAAAGUUUCACGUCAGGAGAGGUACCCCUGCAGCAGAAAUAAGCAUAGAUCCUCAGAGAGAGGGGGUAUUUUCAAAAAAAUCGUUGUUUUUUCGAACCAGCUCUUAUCCAACCCGCUGUGGGGAAAAUUGCACAGUCCGAAAUGAAAGUGUCAAUUUGAGAUUUGUCGUCGACCUAUGCAAGUUUCCGUCGAAAUCCAGACCACUUUUGGGGGUUCUACUAAGGGGUUGAAAAUUUUGCAAAUUGCUCAUUUUUGGAUGAAUCCUGCAUAGCCCAACUUGAACAUAUUUUCUUUCCAGAUAUUCCACAUUAGUUAUACCAAAAUACAGAAAGAUAUCAUUCUGGAAACAGGGGAAAUAUUUUGAAACCCAGCGGUGCCAAUUUUUUAUUCAACAUUUCCAACUUGAAAGAAUCGUAAAUUGGCAGUUUUUCUCAAGUUAAUGAAAUUGGAAAUAAUGGCCAAAAAAUUGGCACCACUGCGUGUUCCAGAAUAUUCCUCAGUUUCAGAAGUAUCUAAUGUCUUUCAAUAUUUUGGCACCAAUUGCAAAAUAUUUGCGAAGAAAAAAUUUUCAAAACACGAUUUUUUUCAAGACCUGCUGACUUUUUUUCUUGGGUGAUCGACCCUUAUGAAUAAGUUUGUUGAAAACAGUACCCAAUACGUUGCAAAAAGCUCAAUUUUAUAAUGUAUGAACAUUCAAGUAGGUAACACUUUUCAGUGUGUUACGUUGAAGUUAUUACUUCUGUAUAGUUUCCUCGAAUACGUAUGUAGAUAAAACUACUUACGUAGUUACCUACCUAAUUAUCAAAUAGGAAUUUUAAUCAAAAUUCAAAACAAUUUCAUAUUAAAGUAGCACAAUGUGGCUGAACUUAUUCUGAAGUUUCGAGUUUCUGCGCUACCUGCACCCCCCCCCCCCCCGGAAUAUGUUCAAUUUUAUCAAAAAAUAGAAUUCAGCGGUUUUUUUUUUCAAAAAAAGAACAGUAUCAACUAUAAAGGGAGUGGAAGCCAACAAAAAUUGCAAAAAAAUUCUCAAGUGUGAAUAAAAGCUACUUUAAGGACUCCGUGCCUCUCAUCUUGUUUUUUAAUUUUCCAAUUAGAAAAUUUUGGAUUUGAACCGGCUCAAAAAGAAUUUAAAGAUAUGUACCUAAUGUGCCUUUAUAAGUGCUGAAUUUCAUUUUUACUUUUUUUUUUUUUAGCUUAUUUAGGAAGUUUUUAUCGGAAAAUUCACAGGAGGAGGAGGCUUCAGAUGGGUUUGAAACCAACAUUUUAGUUUUGUGAAUAAAUUCGUCGCUUUUAUCCGCUUGCGUUCACUUGAUUUUUUUGGCGUGCACUUGAAUUUUUUGUUGUCGUGCAAUGGUUGAAAACUGUUCCCGUCGUUAAAAAAGUGGUUUUGGACGUUAGCAUCUGUCGUGCAAAAAACUUUUUUUUGGUCUUUCAAAUCAUUUAAUCUGUCGUGCCGAUAAAUUGCACCAUUUUUAAAUGUGUUUUCGGCCUCUAAAAAACAUAUAUGUAUUUUUUUCAUAAAAAAUGUUGAGGUGGGUCGUGGUCAAAAAUUGAAAAAACUGACAGAGGGUGUAAAAAUGAAUUCUGGGGUGAAUUAUUGUUUUCAAAUAAAAAAAUACACGAGGCUAAGAAAAUAAUUUUUAUUGUUAUUUCAGAAAAGGGGGGGGGGUGUCUGAAACUUUCCUGACGAAAGGUGCUCAAUAGUACCCACCUUCCAUGCAAAUGUCAACCCUGAAGCUCUCGGGGGCAAAUUCACCUUACUUACCUAUCAACAUGGGGCCCUCAAACUUUGAUUUUAUUUCUCAACAAAGAGGGUAGAAGUAGCCAUUUACAUAAUAUGAGGAAAGUUUUUUAUCAUAGUUCCUGUACUGCCAUGACUCUACUGCAUGAUACCUAACCUACUCGUGUGUUAUUAGUCAGAACUGUACAGUCGAAAGAAAACUAUUGUUGACGUUGAUCUACUACAUAUAUAUUUUGUCUUUUAAAAAUUGAUAAGCAUAUACGUAGGUACCUACCUAACAACUAUGUAAGUACGUACCUAUGAACAAUUUUUGGCUAUGAUGCAUACCUAUUACCUAUUCAUACCUAAUACAACGUUCGAUUUUUAAAUUUUUGUUUACACUUUUUUCUGCGUAGGUAUACUGUUUAUGUUUACAGCUACUACUUCAAUAAUUUCUCCGAAACGAUAAAAAUAUGUGCAUUAGGGCAUGUAGUACUCACGAGGAGGUCUAGGUAUCUUACAAACUAGACAACCUGCCGAGUUGAAAAAAAUGAAUAAAUACGAGUACUUUCAUUUAUAUCAGCAGUCACGAAUAUCUUCUAUAACAAUAAUCAUUCGGAUCAAUAAAAACAAGUUUUAGUAGUGUUUUACGUAAAGUACAUAUUACGUUUCGUGUUGUACAAUUCAAACUUAUUAAUCGUAAGUACCCAGGUAUGGAUAUCAUUUCAAAGACUUUUAUUGCAAUAUUUUUCUUCACAAUCAUAUUAGUUGCAUACAGUAUACCUGUUAGGGCUGAUGGAGUACCGUGUGAUCAAGAUCCAAAAUGCUGCGAUCCUAAAAUAUGCCACUGAGAAAAAUCAUAAGUCAAUCACGAUACUGUUUCCUAAAAACACUGUAAUGAGUACCUACAUUGAAACACAGUAAAUUCUGAAUUAUGGUGUUUUACAAUAUUCAUUCCUAUGUUUCAAUGUAAAAUUUCUUAAAUACACUGUUUAACGUGGA